AGUAACCUGCCUUGGAGUGGGGAAUAACACAGUGAAAAUUGUUGCUAAUACCGCAUAAUGCAUUUGGAUCGCAUGGUUCUGAAUGCCAAAGAUUUAUCGCUCUGAGAUGGACUCGCGUCUGAUUAGCUAGUUGGCGGGGCAACGGCCCACCAAGGCGACGAUCAGUAGCCGGACUGAGAGGUUGGCCGGCCACAUUGGGACUGAGACACGGCCCAG
This 216-nucleotide ribosomal RNA is filed under the name uncultured bacterium. RNAcentral describes it as "partial 16S ribosomal RNA". It matches the Rfam family "Bacterial small subunit ribosomal RNA", at positions 120 to 334 of the family's 1533-position model. The record is from RNAcentral.